UGGGGAAUUUUGGACAAUGGGCGCAAGCCUGAUCCAGCCAUGCCGCGUGAGUGAAGAAGGCCUUCGGGUUGUAAAGCUCUUUCGGUGGGGAAGAAAUUGCUUCGGUUAAUACCUGGAGUAGAUGACGGUACCCGCAUAAGAAGCACCGGCUAACUACGUGCCAGCAGCCGCGGUAAUACGUAGGGUGCGAGCGUUAAUCGGAAUUACUGGGCGUAAAGCGUGCGCAGGCGGUUGUAUAAGUCAGAUGUGA
Molecule: ribosomal RNA, 250 nt
Filed under: uncultured bacterium
Lineage: Bacteria
Description: partial 16S ribosomal RNA
Rfam family: Bacterial small subunit ribosomal RNA
Source: RNAcentral